UACCGGCGGCUCGAGUGGUGACCACUUUUAUUGGGCUUAAAGCGUCCGUAGCCGGAUUGUUAAGUCUCUUGGGAAAUCCGCCGGCUUAACCGGCGGACGUCUAAGGGAUACUGGCAAUCUAGGGACCGGGAGAGGUGAGAGGUACUCCGGGGGUAGAAGUGAAAUUCUGUAAUCCUCGGGGGACCACCUGUGGCGAAGGCGUCUCACCAGAACGGCUCCGACAGUGAGGGACGAAAGCUGGGGGAGCAAACCGGAUUAGAUACCCGGGUAGUCCCAGCCGUAAACGAUGCGCGUUAGGUGUACUGGCGACCACGAGUCGCCGGGGUGCCGAAGGGAAACCGUGAAACGUGCCGCCUGGGAAGUACGGUCGCAAGGCUGAAACUUAAAGGAAUUGGCGGGGAGCACCACAACGGGUGGAGCCUGCGGUUU
This 429-nucleotide ribosomal RNA is filed under the name uncultured archaeon. RNAcentral's name for it is "bacterial SSU rRNA". It matches the Rfam family "Archaeal small subunit ribosomal RNA", at positions 474 to 903 of the family's 1478-position model. The record is from RNAcentral.